Molecule: RNA transcript, 3319 nt
Organism: Tripterygium wilfordii
Lineage: Eukaryota; Viridiplantae; Streptophyta; Magnoliopsida; Celastrales; Celastraceae
Gene name: probable splicing factor 3A subunit 1
Exons: 6
Source: RefSeq, a predicted model, not a curated record
GGGUUGAACCGUGGUCGGCUUGAAUUUCCGUACCGGUUCCACACAUCUUACAAAACCCUUCCGCCCCUUCUGGCUCGUAUUCGUUCAACUUUCACUCCUCCAUUGCUGCUAUUGCCGCUGCUGUCUUUCUUCUUCGCCCGGCGAACGCAAUAUUGCCGCUUCACUAAGUCAGCGGCUGUGGUUCCACUGAAGUAUUCUUUUGGCAGAGACACUUGUUGAUGCUAUUCACUUCUUCUGGUUCUUCAUAAGUUUCUCUGUUUGAGGAGAACAAAGAAUGCUAGGCAAUUUGCCAAUCUUGCCUCUUCCAGCGCCACCGGCUGAUGGAGAUCUUGGGCCUCUUCCACCAUCCCAGGUACCAAGUGAAGAAGAGAAUGCUACAAAUGAAGAAGAGAGCAGGUCAAAUUCGGUUCCAACACCUGUUGCGACUCAUACAAGGACUAUAGGGAUUAUACAUCCUCCUCCAGAUAUCAGGAAUAUCGUGGACAAAACUGCCCAAUUUGUUGCAAAAAAUGGACCUGACUUUGAAAAAAGAAUCAUUGCCAGCAAUGCUCAUAAUGCCAAGUUCAACUUUUUGAGCCCUACAGAUGCCUACCAUACAUACUAUCAACAUCGAUUGUCUGAAUUUCGUUCCCAAAAUCAAUCUUCUGCCCAGCCUGCUGAUUCCAUACCAGAGUCAGCUCCACUGGCUCCUGCUGCUGAUGGCAGUGAAGCUGUUGCAAAACCCGACACUGCAGCUCAGUUUAAAUUACCUGUGCGAAAGGUUCUUGAGCCCCCGGAAGCUGAGCAAUAUACUGUCCGGCUUCCUGAAGGGAUUACAGGUGAAGAACUGGACAUCAUUAAGCUAACAGCUCAGUUUGCGGCUCGAAAUGGUAAAUCAUUCUUGACAGGAUUGGCAAGUAGGGAGAUGAACAAUCCCCAGUUCCAUUUUUUAAAGCCAACUCAUAGCAUGUUCAUGUUUUUUACUGCCCUUGCGGAUGCCUAUUCACGAGUUUUGAUGCCUCCAAAAAGUUUGUCGGAAAAGCUGAAGAGGAGUGUUACUGACAUGACUACCGUGCUUGAACGAUGUUUGCAUCGCUUGGAGUGGGAGCGUUCGCAGGAGCAAGCUAGGCAGAAAGCAGAGGAUGAGAUUGAACAGGAGAGGUUGCAAAUGGCUAUGAUUGACUGGCAUGAUUUUGUUUUGGUCGAGACUAUAGAUUUUGCUGAUGAUGAGGAUGAGGAGUUACCUCCUCCAAUGACCCUUGAGGAGGUUGUAAGGAGGAGUAAGGUGUCUGCUAUGGAUGAGGAUGAGUUUGUUGAGCCUGGAAAAGCUGUAGAAAUGGAAAUGGAUGAAGAAGAGGUGCAGCUUGUUGAAGAGGGCAUGAAGGCUGCCAGCCUUGAAGAGAAUGAUGGUGAAAAGAAGGUGAAGGCGAACGAGGAGCCAGAGCCACCAAUGAGAAUUGUAAAGAACUGGAAGAGACCGGAGGAGAGGAUCCCUGCUGAAAGAGACCCAACGAAGUUCACCGUAUCCCCAAUUACUGGUGAACUAAUUCCAAUUAAUGAGAUGUCUGAGCACAUGAGGAUUUCCCUUAUUGAUCCAAAGUAUAAGGAGCAAAAGGAAAGGAUGUUUGCUAAGAUUCGAGAGACAACUCUUGCGCAGGAUGAUGAGAUUGCCAAAAAUAUUGUGGGACUUGCACGAACCCGUCCUGAUAUCUUUGGUACGACGGAGGAAGAAGUUUCUAAUGCCGUCAAGGCAGAGAUUGAGAAGAAGAAAGAUGAGCAGCCAAAACAAGUCAUAUGGGAUGGUCACACUGGCAGCAUUGGACGCACUGCGAAUCAAGCUAUGUCUCAAAACAUCAAUGGGGAAGAUCAGAAUGAUGCUAGUAACAAUGAUGGGUGGUCCCUUCCUGGUCCUAUGGCUCCUCCUCGACCUGGUUUGCCAUCCAUUCGUCCCCUCCCUCCACCACCUGGUCUGGCCUUGAAUCUUCCUCGACCCCCUAAUGCAGUUCAAUAUUCAGCUCCAACUAGUGGUGGAUAUCCUGUACCCCCACCCCGGCCACCAGGAAUGCCAAUGAUGCCAUCAAUUCCUCCACCACAGCCACCAUUGCCAACUGGACAGCAACCAAUGAUGAUGCAUCGUCCACACCAAAUGCAUCCACCUAUGUCUAUGAACCAACCUGGUAUUUCUGUUCCACCUCCACCUGGAUCUCAGUUUACUCCAUUACCAGUUCCCAGACCUUUUGCCCCUUUGGCUGUUCCUCCUCCUACCAUGCAUAUGAUGCCGCCACCCCCACCUCCUCAAGGAAUGCCGCCACCGCCACCACCUGAUGAUGCUCCUCCACCACUUCCAGAUGAACCAGAACCAAAGAGGCAAAAGCAAGAUGAUUCUAUGCUUAUUCCUGAAGAUCAAUUUCUGGCUCAACAUCCGGGACCUGUUCGCAUCAAUGUGUCUGUUCCCAAUGUUGAUGAAGGAAAUCUCAAAGGGCAAGUCCUGGAGAUUACAAUGCAAUCCUUGUCUGAAACAGUUGGCAGUCUGAAGGAGAAAAUAUCAGGGGAGAUCCAACUACCAGCAAACAAACAGAAAUUGAGUGGAAAAGCUGGUUUUCUCAAGGACAAUAUGUCACUUGCGUAUUACAAUUUUGGAGCAGGGGAAACACUCACUCUGUCUUUGAGAGAGCGUGGUGGUAGAAAGAGAUAAUUGGGCUUCUUGACCAGAUUAAUUAAGGUUUUUGUUGGACCAUUCUCAUUUUGAUGAGAAAUUCCCUAGUUUUUAACAUUUUAUUUGGGAUCAUGGUAUUUUUGCUUAUCAUGCUAUACUGGAUAUUAUAUUGGUUAUGUAUCACCAAAAUUUCUAUGUGAAACUAUUACUGCUUCUGAACAGAUGGAAAAUGUGGUAUCUACUUCAGAUCUGAUGCCAAUGCGAGUCUCUCAAGGGCAAUGGGAAGUAGAGGUUAUUCUUUUGUAGAUAGGAUGUGAGUGUACAUGGCACGUGGAUCUGCAGAUGGUUUAUACAGUUUUUACCUGGGAUGUACACCAAUAGAAUGCUUAUUUGUUUGGCUGGAUAGUUUGUGUGACCCAUCAGAUACCACAUGUCUAAAGAAUGUUUGAGGCAGCAUUGACCUGGAUUGGUGGCUGUUCAAGGUGGAAGAGAGUAUAUUAAAGUUAUUCAUUCAAUUUUUUCCCGUUAGGUUGUCUCCUGAUUAUGGUCUUGCAAUGCGUAUUGAACUUUCUGAUAUCUUCUAGUUAGAACUUGGAUGAGGCAUGCAAUGUGGGCUCAGUCAAGCUAGUAGUUUUCGUUCAGACGACAACGCUGAAAAGAUUUAUGGAUCUAACUUCUAAGGCA